UACGAAGGGGGCUAGCGUUGUUCGGAUUCAUUGGGCGUAAAGGGUGCGUAGGCGGCGCGGUAAGUCGGGUGUGAAAUCUCGGAGCUCAACUCCGAAAUUGCACUGGAUACUGCUCUGCUAGAGGGCUGGAGAGGAGAUCGGAAUUCACGGUGUAGCAGUGAAAUGCGUAGAUAUCGUGAGGAAGACCAGUGGCGAAGGCGGAUCUCUGGACAGCUCCUGACGCUGAGGCGCGAAGGCUAGGAGAGCAAACGGG
RNAcentral lists this ribosomal RNA (253 nucleotides) under uncultured bacterium. RNAcentral's name for it is "partial 16S ribosomal RNA". It matches the Rfam family "Bacterial small subunit ribosomal RNA", at positions 524 to 776 of the family's 1533-position model. The record is from RNAcentral.